This 419-nucleotide long non-coding RNA is filed under the name Trifolium pratense (red clover). Its description in RNAcentral is "long non-coding RNA (TPRA_LNC012884)". Lineage: Eukaryota; Viridiplantae; Streptophyta; Magnoliopsida; Fabales; Fabaceae. The record is from RNAcentral.
UAUUGUGAUUGCAGAAAGAAGUGAAGUUCUUAAAACUCAUACAAUUUUAUCGUGCUGAGUAUGAUCCUAGUUAUCUGACUAAGGUUGAAGCUUCCAUGAAUUAAAGUUAGGAUUAACAGUUUGAUCGAUGAUUAUGAUUGUCAGAAUUACUACUUUUGAGUGAUGAUUACUAGAGUUUGAUUGUGUGUUGGUUUGGUUGUAAAUAUACAUUAGCUUUCUAUGAACAUAUAUUUCAUACAUUGUUGAUACUGGUUUGUUUGUUUUGUCCAAACUAAGAAGCACUGUUUAUAUUGUACAAAUUUGGUUGAAUUUUAAUUGUGCUGGUGCUGAUGAUUUUAUUGUUUAAUUGUCUGUGUAAUUAUUUUAUUGUUGAUACUGGUUUUGGUUGUCCAUAGGUAAGGAAGUUUAAUUAUUUUGUA